GACGAACGCUGGCGGCGUGCCUAACACAUGCAAGUCGAGCGCUGAAGUUUGGUAUUUGUACCGACUGGAUGAGCAGCGAACGGGUGAGUAACGCGUGGGGAAUCUGCCUUCGAGCGGGGGACAACAAUUCGAAACGAAUGCUAAUACCGCAUAAAAACUUUAAAUACAAGUUUUACGUUUUAAAGUUGCAAUUGCAUCACUCAAAGAUGAUCCCGCGUUGUAUUAGCUAGUUGGUGAGGUAAGGGGAAACCAAGGCGAUGAUACAUAGCCGGCCUGAGAGGGAGAGCGGCCAAGUUGGGACUGGAACAGGGCCCACCAUCCGACGAGUGACAGCAGUAGGAAAUCUUAAGCGAUGGAAGCAAGUGUGAGCGUGAAACGCCGCGGGAGUGAGGAAGGUUUUCGUAUCGUAAGACUCUGUUAGUAGGUAAGAUCGUAGAUGAGAGUGGAAAGCUAAGCAAGUGACGGUAACGACCCAAAAAGGUCCGGCUAACUCCGUG
RNAcentral lists this ribosomal RNA (497 nucleotides) under uncultured bacterium. RNAcentral describes it as "partial 16S ribosomal RNA". It matches the Rfam family "Bacterial small subunit ribosomal RNA", at positions 28 to 507 of the family's 1533-position model. The record is from RNAcentral.